This 23-nucleotide microRNA is filed under the name Gallus gallus (chicken). RNAcentral describes it as "gga-miR-7455-5p (MIR7455)". Lineage: Eukaryota; Metazoa; Chordata; Aves; Galliformes; Phasianidae. The record is from RNAcentral.
UCGCGCGGCGCAGAGGGAGCGGG